RNAcentral lists this long non-coding RNA (3400 nucleotides) under Homo sapiens (human). Its description in RNAcentral is "HSALNT0311072". The record is from RNAcentral. Lineage: Eukaryota; Metazoa; Chordata; Mammalia; Primates; Hominidae.
CUCUCAGAAGCUUGCUGCCAUGUUAUAAAGAAGCUCAGAUGGAUCACUGGAUGAUGAGAAGCCUCAAGGAGAGAUGCCCUAAAGGAUGAGAGGCCAUCUUGAAAGUUCCAGCCCCUGCAGAGCUCCUACCUUAAUGCAGCCACACAAGUGACCACAGCUAUUCCACAAGGAGCAGAACCCAACCAACCCACAAAACUGAGAAAAAUAAUACCUUGUUGUGUUAAGUCACUAAGUUUGAGUGGCUUGUGAUACUGCAAGAGAACUGAAGCAGACCUCUUCAGACAGAUUAAAAUGGGGGACCCUGGCUAUUGCUGGGCUCCUCUGGGAAGAGUCUCCUAAAGAGAUGUCUUAGGCCCCUUUGCCCAAAUGGCUGCAGAGGAACAUCUUACAAGGCUGUUAUAUGAAACGCACAGAUACAACCAUGCAACAAUUGUGAUCAACAAAUAUUUGAUCUCUUGAAGACAGCAUACUGAUGGGUCUUAAUUCUUUAUUCAGCUUACUAUUGCAUGGAGGAACAUCCCUCAAAAUAGUAAGAGCCAUUUAUGACAAACCCACAGCCAAUAUCAUACUGAAUGGGCAAAAAAUGGAAGCAUUCCCCUUGAAAAGCAGCACAAGACAAGGUUGCCCUCUCUCACCACCGCUAUUCAACAUAGUAUUGGAAGUUCUGGCCAGGGCAAUCAGGCAAGAUAAAAAAAAUAAGGCAUAUUCAAAUAGGAAGAGAGGAAGUCAAACUAUCUUUGUUUGCAGAUGACAUAAUCCUGUAUCUAGAAAACCCGAUUAUCUCAGCCCAAAAGCUUCUUAAGCUGAUAAGCAACUUCAGCAAAGUCUCAGGAUACAAAAUCAAUGUGCAAAAAUUGCUAGUAUUCCUAUACACCAACAACAGGCAAGCUGACAGCCAAAUCACAAAUGAACUCCCAUUCACAGUUGCCACAAAAAGAAUAAAUUAUCUAAGAAUACAGCUAACAAGGGAAGAGAAGGACCUCUUCAAGGAGAACUACACACCACUGCUCAAAGAAAUCAGAGAUGACAAAAACAAAUGGAAAACAUUCCAUGUUUAUGGAUAGGAAGAAUCAGUAUUGUAAAAAUGGCCAUAUUGGCCGGGUGAGGUGGCUCAUGCCUGUAAUCCCAGCACUUUGGGAGGCUGAGGCAGGUACAUCAUUAAGGUCAGGAGAUCGAGACCAUCCUGGCUAAUACGGUGAAACCCAGUCUCUACUAAAAACACAAAAAAUUAGCCAGGCGUGGUGCAGCACCUGUAGUCCCAGCUACUUGGGAGGCUGAGGCAGAAGAAUGGCAUGAACCUGGGAGGUGGGGCUUGCAGUGAGCUGAGAUCAUGCCACUGUACUCCAGCCUGGGUGACAGAGCUAGACUCCAUCAAAAAAAAAAAAAGGGCCAUAUUGAUAAUAAAAACAUUUAUAGAUUCAAUGCUAUUCAUAUUAAGCUACCAUUGACAUUCUUCAGAGAAUUAGAAAAAAACUAUUUUAAAAUUCUCAUGGAACCAAAAAAGAGCCCAAAUAGCCAAGGCAAUCUUAGGCAAAAAGAACAAAGCUGGAGCCAUCAUGCUACCUGAUACUACAAGGCUACAGUAACCCAAACAGCAUGGGACCGGUGCAAGAACAGACACAUAGACCAAUGGAACAGAAUAGAGAACCCAGAAAUAAGACUGCACAUCUAUAACUCUCUGAUCUUCGACAAAUCUGACAAAAAUAAGCAAUGGGGAAAGGAUUCCCUAUUUAAUAAAUGGUGCUGGGAGAACUGGCUAGCCAUAUGCAGAAAAUUGAAUCUGGACCCCUUCCUUACACCUCAUACAAAGAUUAACUCAAGAUGGAUUCCAGACUUAAAUGUAAAACCCAAAACUAUAAUAACCCUAGUAGAAAACCUAUCCAAUAUCGUUCAGGACACAGGCAUGGACAAAGAUUUCAUGUUGAAGACACCAAAAGCGAUUGCAAUAAAAGCCAAAAUGGACAAAUGGAAUCUAAUUAAAAUAAAGAGUUUCUGCACAGUAAAAGAAACUAACAGCAGAGUAAACAGACAACCUACAGAAUGGGAGAAAAUUUUUACAACCUGUCCAUCUGACAAAGGUCAAAUAUCCAGCAUCUAUAAGGAACUUAAACAAAUUUACAAGAAAAAAACAACUACAUUAAAAAGUGAGCAAAGGACAUGAACAGACACUUCUAAAAAGGAGACAUACAUGUGGCCAACAAACAUAUGAAAAAAAAACCCAACAUCACUGAUUAUUAGAGAAAUGCAAAUCAAAACCACAAUGGGAUACCAUCUCACACCAGUCAGAAUGGCUAUUAAUAAAAAGUCAAAAAACAGAUGCUGGCGAGGUCGUGCAGAAAAAGGAAUGUUUUUACACUGUUGGUGGGAGUGUAAAUUAGUUCAACCACUGUGGAAGAUAGUGUGGUGAUUCCUCAAAGACCUAGAGGCAGAAAUACCAUUCAGCCCAGCAAUCCCAUUACUGGGUAUGUUCCCAAAGACAUAUAAACUGUUCUGUUAUAAAGAUACAUGCACACAUAUGUUCAUUGCAGCACUAUUCACAAUAACAAAAACAUGGAAUCAACCUAAAUGCCCAUCAUUGAUAGACUGGAUAAAGAAAAUGUGGUACAUGUACACCAUGAAAAAUACUGUGCAGCCAUACAAAGGAAUGAGAUCACAUCCUUUGCAGGGACAUGAAUAGAGCUGGAGGCCAUUAUCCUUAGCAAAUAAAUGCAGAAACAGAAGACCAAAUACCACACGUUCUCACUUAUAAGUGGGAGCUGAAUGAUGAGAAUACAUGGACACAUUGAGGGGAACAACACACACUGGGGCCUGUCAGAGGGUUGGGGGUGGGACCCUGGGUAAUGGGAUGAUCUGUGCAGCAAACCACUAUGGCCUAUGUUUACCUAUGUAACAAACCUGUAUAUCCUGCACAUGUACCCCUGAACUUAAAAGUUGUAUGUUAAAAAAAAUAUGUCCCUCUUUUUCUUCUUUGGCUAAUUUCAUAUUUGACAAUUUCAUAACUUGGUCAGGUUAGAAAAGAGUGUAUCAAUUUUCCUUUGCUGCUGUAAAAUAAUACCACAAGCUUAAUGGCUUAAAACAAAGCCAAUUUAUUUUUACCUUACAGUUCUAUAGGUUAGACAAAACUGGUCUGACACUGGUCUCACUUAGCUAAAAUCAAGAUGUCAGGAGGGCUGUGUUCUUUUCUGGAGGCUCUGGGAGAUAAUCAAUUUCUUUGCUUUUUCCACAUUCUAGAGGCUUCCCACAUUCUGUGGCUCAUGGACCCCUUCCUCCACCUUCAAAGGUAGCAAUGGUGCAUCUUUCUGACCAUUUUUUCUCCCUGAACACAUCCAAUAAAGAUUCUCCAAUUUUAAGGAGGCAGGUAAUUAGAUUAGGCUCCUUUGGAUAUUCCAGGAUAUUCCUG